GAUGAAGAACGCAGCGAAAUGCGAUAAGUAGUGUGAAUUGCAGAAUUCAGUGAAUCAUCGAAUCUUUGAACGCACAUUGCGCCUCCUGGUAUUCCGGGAGGCAUGCCUGUUCGAGCGUCAUUAAAAUCACUCAAGCUUAGGUUUACCUAUUGCUUGGUCUUGGAGAUGGAAGCCAAUUCAUUGGAAUCCUCUUCGAAAUCCAAUGGCGAAGACCCUUGCUCUCCCAAGUGUAGUAAUCACUUAUGUCACUGAAGGAAGCGAGAAAUCUUCCGCCGUAACCCCCAUAUUUUCUAUGAUUGACCUCGGAUCAGGUAGGGAUACCCGCUGAACUUAAGCAUAUCAAUAAGCGGAGGA
RNAcentral lists this unclassified non-coding RNA (354 nucleotides) under soil metagenome. Its description in RNAcentral is "partial contains 5.8S ribosomal RNA, internal transcribed spacer 2, and large subunit ribosomal RNA". The stretch from base 1 to 120 matches the Rfam family "5.8S ribosomal RNA", at positions 35 to 154 of the family's 154-position model. The record is from RNAcentral.